GGAUGUGAGGGCGAUCUGGCUGCACCAUCUGUCACCCUAUUGAUCACCAGGGUUGAUUCGGCUGACCUUGCUGGCUAGGCAGGUGUCCCCUUCCUCCUUCAACGUUCCACACAUGUCCCUCCCAAAGCUGCACCUCGGUCGAAGAGGAUGUCACCACCCACCCCCGCCCCUUAGAGGAGGAUCGGUCUUCGGUCAAGGGUAUACGAGUAGUUGUGCUCCCCUGCUAGAACCUCCAAACAAGCUCUCAAAGAAAAAAAAUGACAUGAAGCUGGGGGGGCGGGGAGUAGGGGGUGGAUUU
This 298-nucleotide small nuclear RNA is filed under the name Nannospalax galili (Upper Galilee mountains blind mole rat). RNAcentral's name for it is "7SK RNA (ENSNGAG00000004476.1)". It matches the Rfam family "7SK RNA", at positions 1 to 274 of the family's 331-position model. From Rfam's summary of the family: 7SK was discovered as an abundant small nuclear RNA in the mid-70s but a possible function has only recently been suggested. Two independent studies have found that 7SK RNA binds the CDK9/cyclin T complex (known as elongation factor P-TEFb). P-TEFb activates transcription by phosphorylating the C-terminal domain of RNA polymerase II. The record is from RNAcentral. Lineage: Eukaryota; Metazoa; Chordata; Mammalia; Rodentia; Spalacidae.